UGAACGGUAUAAGUCAGCCGUAACGUUCUUAUAAGUCAGCCGUAUCGUAUAUAUUUAGUGAAAUUAAGUAUUUUAUUAGAUGGCUAGAGGAUAAUUGAUUAUAGGAAAUUGAAUAUAAGUAACAAUACAUGUGUACCCAACACUAAAUUUAAUUAAUUAUAAACUCAAAACAUUAAUUUUAUAUUCUAAAACUAACCCCUAACACUAUAUUCAAACCCUAAACUCUAAACCUAAACUCUAUAUCCAGGUCACAAUUUUGAUAUUAAUCUAAAAUUUUCAAACUUAAACACCAGUUCUUAAAAUAAAUAUGACUUUAUUAAGUUUAAAAAAUAAAACUUUAAACUUAAAUUAUAAACUACAAAAUAUAAAUUUUGGAAUAAGAUAUAACUAAAAAACAUUACGUACAAAACAAAUUAUCAAAUAUGGAAUGCCAAAACAAAAAUAGAAAAAGGAAGAAAUUUUUUUCUGGCCAAUCAGAUUCUGAUACAAAGAUCAAACUAAGAUUUUGGAUUAACUUAGAUAUAAAGGUUGAGAUUUAUUCAUUUUAUCUCUCUCUCUCUCUCUCUCUCUCUCUCUCUCUUUUCUCUUUUUCUUUUCUGUAUUUAUCUCUCAUCUCUGCCAUCUCUGUCCACACUUACUGAUUUUCAGUCAUGUCUUCCAUCACUCUCC
Molecule: long non-coding RNA, 669 nt
Filed under: Brassica napus (rape)
Lineage: Eukaryota; Viridiplantae; Streptophyta; Magnoliopsida; Brassicales; Brassicaceae
Description: long non-coding RNA (BNAP_LNC023560)
Source: RNAcentral